This is a long non-coding RNA of Oncorhynchus keta (chum salmon), 2190 nucleotides long. RefSeq lists it as uncharacterized. NCBI's taxonomy places the organism in Eukaryota, Metazoa, Chordata, Actinopteri, Salmoniformes, Salmonidae. The record is from RefSeq and is a predicted model, not a curated record. The transcript has 4 exons.
AGCAGGAUAAAGGUUGUUUAUUAAGAGAACGUGUGUGUAGUAUCAGCAGGAUAAAGGUUGUUUAUUAAGAGAACGUGUGUGUAGUAUCAGCAGGAUAAAGGUUGUUUAUUAAGAGAACGUGUGUGUAGUAUCAGCAGGAUAAAGGUUGUUUAUUAAGACAACGUGUGUGUAGUAUCAGCAGGAUAAAGGUUGUUUAUUAAGACAACGUGUGUGUAGUAUCAGCAGGAUAAAGGUUGUUUAUUAAGACAACGUGUGUGUAGUAUCAGCAGGAUAAAGGUUGUUUAUUAAGAGAACGUGUGUCAGCAGGAUAAAGGUUGUUUAUUAAGACAACGUGUGUGUAGUAUCAGCAGGAUAAAGGUUGUUUAUUAAGAGAACGUGUGUGUAGUAUCAGCAGGAUAAAGGUUGUUUAUUAAGAGAACGUGUGUGUAGUAUCAGCAGGAUAAAGGUUGUUUAUUAAGACAACGUGUGUGUAGUAUCAGCAGGAUAAAGGUUGUUUAUUAAGAGAACGUGUGUGUAGUAUCAGCAGGAUAAAGGUUGUUUAUUAAGAGAACGUGUGUGUAGUAUCAGCAGGAUAAAGGUUGUUUAUUAAGAGAACGUGUGUGUAGUAUCAGCAGGAUAAAGGUUGUUUAUUAAGACAACGUGUGUGUAGUAUCAGCAGGAUAAAGGUUGUUUAUUAAGACAACGUGUGUGUAGUAUCAGCAGGAUAAAGGUUGUUUAUUAAGACAACGUGUGUGUAGUAUCAGCAGGAUAAAGGUUGUUUAUUAAGACAACGUGUGUGUAGUAUCAGCAGGAUAAAGGUUGUUUAUUAAGACAACGUGUGUGUAGUAUCAGCAGGAUAAAGGUUGUUUAUUAAGACAACGUGUGUGUAGUAUCAGCAGGAUAAAGGUUGUUUAUUAAGACAACGUGUGUGUAGUAUCAGCAGGAUAAAGGUUGUUUAUUAAGACAACGUGUGUCAGCAGGAUAAAGGUUGUUUAUUAAGAGAACGUGUGUGUAGUAUCAGCAGGAUAAAGGUUGUUUAUUAAGAGAACGUGUGUCAGCAGGAUAAAGGUUGUUUAUUAAGACAACGUGUGUGUAGUAUCAGCAGGAUAAAGGUUGUUUAUUAAGAGAACGUGUGUGUAGUAUCAGCAGGAUAAAGGUUGUUUAUUAAGAGAACGUGUGUCAGCAGGAUAAAGGUUGUUUAUUAAGAGAACGUGUGUGUAGUAUCAGCAGGAUAAAGGUUGUUUAUUAAGACAACGUGUGUGUAGUAUCAGCAGGAUAAAGGUUGUUUAUUAAGACAACGUGUGUGUAGUAUCAGCAGGAUAAAGGUUGUUUAUUAAGACAACGUGUGUGUAGUAUCAGCAGGAUAAAGGUUGUUUAUUAAGACAACGUGUGUGUAGUAUCAGCAGGAUAAAGGUUGUUUAUUAAGAGAACGUGUGUCAGCAGGAUAAAGGUUGUUUAUUAAGAGAACGUGUGUCAGCAGGAUAAAGGUUGUUUAUUAAGAGAACGUGUGUCAGCAGGAUGAAGGUUGUUUAUUAAGACAACGUGUGUCAGCAGGAUAAAGGUUGUUUAUUAAGAGAACGUGUGUAGUGUCAGCAGGAUAAAGGUUGUUUAUUAAGAGAACGUGUGUAGUGUCAGCAGGAUAAAGGUUGUUUAUUAAGAGAACGUGUGUAGUAUCAGCAGGAUAAAGGUUGUUUAUUAAGAGAACGUGUGUCAGCAGGAUAAAGGUUGUAUGGUGAGAAUGUAGCACAUGGGGGAUGUGGGAAACUUACUCCUCAGCCUGAAGUGUCACCACUUGUGCAGCCGAGUUGUUAACGCUUCGAUGGCGCCGACUGGUAAGACGCUUCGGGAGGGCGGUCACGUGCGCUAGCGAAGCAGAUGUCCUGGGUUCGAGCGUCCGUUUGAGCCCGAUCAGGAGGAAGCGGUACUCGCUGAGUAAGCAGAGUGACGUCAGUUAUCAGAAUGCUGCUGUUACCUUGGUUUACCUCUAUGAACUGAACUGGAAAAGAAACUGAAUCAACUGUCAAAGGACUUCUGGCCUUUUCUCUGCUUAAAGCACAUGAUAUCAUAAUGUCUGGUAUGUGAAUAUUGAAUAAGAUAUUAUUUCAGAAAAUGUCAAGGUACAUGUAUAUAAGAAUAUUAUAUACUUUGACGUGUCCAUCUAUUUAAAUAUUUUAACAACAGUGAACACUAACCUGGUGUUUGUUGGUUGAA